CACAUGUCUUACAAAUACAUCCUUGCACUUACUAACACAUUUCAUACAAAUAUUCAAUAACUAUCUGCACACAUAAUUAUUAUACACAAAUAUUAAUUUGAAUUCACACACAACUGUAAAUACAUUUCUGCAUUACAAGUAAAUUGACUCUCUGCCAAAUACACCCAGCUUACACACAGUUCAUACAAAAACACUACCAGCUGACAAGCUCUCUGAGGACAAGAUGGCACUGGUAAGCUGUUUGGAGAAAGAAAUGUCACUGAUUAGCAAUUUUGGGACAACAACGACACUGGUCAGCG
This is a non-coding RNA of Pelobates cultripes (western spadefoot toad), 299 nucleotides long. Lineage: Eukaryota; Metazoa; Chordata; Amphibia; Anura; Pelobatidae. The record is from the annotation of a GenBank genome assembly.